AUCUACAGCGGUGCUACCCUGAACAAGCCUGAUCCUGUCUGAUCUCAGGAAGCUAAGCAGGGUCAGGCCUGGUUAGUACUUAGAUGGGAGACCACCUAGGAAGACCAGGUGCUAUAGGCG
This 120-nucleotide ribosomal RNA is filed under the name Pteropus alecto (black flying fox). Lineage: Eukaryota; Metazoa; Chordata; Mammalia; Chiroptera; Pteropodidae. The record is from RNAcentral.